Cynoglossus semilaevis (tongue sole) is the source of this 2341-nucleotide long non-coding RNA. RefSeq lists it as uncharacterized. The transcript is spliced from 6 exons. The record is from RefSeq and is a predicted model, not a curated record. NCBI's taxonomy places the organism in Eukaryota, Metazoa, Chordata, Actinopteri, Pleuronectiformes, Cynoglossidae.
UCAUGCAUCUCGCGAAAUCAAAAUGCGGCCAUAUUAGCAGUGUGUUCUGUAAUAACGCAAGGAAUGUCCAGACACGACUUUGUUUGAAUGCACAACUUUAUGUACCUACGUUAAAAAAACAAACAAACAAACAAAAAUGUUUUUAACAACAACGUCGUAACAUUGCCGUAAAUCAGAGUACCGUAAACUUUGUAAUGACAUUUACUUGUAGCUAAUGCUAUGGGCAACAGGUGAAUUUGAACAAAAGAGAAGGAAUAAAAUAAGGUUGGCAGAUAGCUGUUGUACCCUGGGAUUCCGGAACAGCCUGGCGGGCAUUUUACAGAACUUCCUGAAAGAUGACAAAAGUGGAUAAGCGCAAUUUAACAAGCCAAAAAACGAUCAGAAAAAAGGAGCGGUGGGAACCUAUGGACAACGGCUUCCGAUAAUACAGCGAUCACUUCAUAUCAGCCCCAUCUGUGGAUCUGUGAAACAUUCCAGGGCACUGAGAAGCCUUGGACGAGCUGCGGAGGAAGCACGGUCUGUUUGUAUAAGAGCUUGAACAGGUGGACAGUAACCAUCAGUCUGGCGGUCAGGGGUUUUGAAGAAGAGAGAGGCAGAGGAGGAGGAGGAGGUCGAUCCUCUCACAGCUGUUCUAUAUGUAACCGUCCUGUCCGAAUCUCCAAACACCUCAGUCUGGUCUGAACUUCAUUUUCUCACGCCUCUCCUUCCUCUGAUCAGACCCUCUGGGACGGUGAUCUUUCAUCCCCACUGCUGUAAUGUCAAGCAUCCCUAUCACAUAGCAGUGCAGGAUAUUCCAGUGCAACACAGGAGGAAUGUUCUUCCAUGUGUCAGGAGGUGCAGAAAGGCAUGACUGUUCCUCCCCUACUCUCCUCUCCUUUCCUCUCCUCUCCUCUCUCCUCACAGGCAGGAUGUUAUGUUAGGGGCUUAUAGCUGUAGGCUGAUGAUAACUGACUUCCACUACUGUAAUUGCUCUCUAAUUACACUGUACUUCUGUUUGUGUGUUAACAUGCGUAAUUACAUAUCUGCCUGUCUCUGCUCGUGUUAGGCGCCGGAACAGAUUUAAAGAGGAGCAAAGAAGGAAAAAGUAGAGGUAAACUGGAGACUGGCACUUCUUCUCACAUAUUAGAGGCAGAUUUGCGUCUGCGUCCAUGACAGUUGUUGUGGUUCCUCUGCUCUCUGUCUAACAAAACAACUGUAAACUUAAAAGCCACCACCUUCAUGAAGCACUCACAACCUCCAACUCCACCAAAUCUAUCUGUUGAUUUUAGCAGUUUUUUAAAAUCCAUUAUUAGGAUUUUUCCUUGUUUGUAGUUUCUGUUGUCAUUUAUGUUAAAUUUGUUCAGUGACUGAGAGAAAAAUGUGUCUAUAAAUUAAUAAUUGUCAUUAAUGUCAUUAAUUCCCUUUUUCUUUCACAGUUCCCUUAACUUUGAAUGUGUCUUCAAGAUACUUGAGUCACACAAGUUCGAGGAGCUGUCCACUCCAAGUGCUGCUCCAGAUGUUCCUGUCUGCACCAGCAGAAAAACAACAACCUCAUUCACCGUGGUGAAACACAGCAGCUCUACAGUGCGCCUGCACGUCGAUAAACCCUUUUUGAUCCUGAGGUCAUAUCGCUGAAGGGGUAGAAUGUUGGCUGAUGGGGUAUCAUCAUUUCAGAAGGAUGACUGGACCUCAGAUGUCGAUGUUAAAUGAGGAGUUUGGAGGAGAGCCACUUUUUCCCCCUGACAAGAGGAGUCAUUCGAGGUGGUGCAAGCAUCUAAUUAGGAUUCAUCCCGACUUGCUAUCUUUGGAUGUUUUCCAGGCUCAACUCUCCGGGAGGAGACCCAAGGACGCAGCUGCAUAUAUAAAGACACUUCUGAACGAUCCAGCCUUCCUGUCCAUCUGGCAGCUCAUCUAUUAGCUCAGCUGUUAGGUCCACUUGGACAGAAGACACACCAGCGCCCAGUCCGCUCUUGUGUUUUUUUCAUUCCGUAUGGACGUAUGCAUUGGGACAUCUGGACAAAGCUUCAAGGACUCUGGUGAUCCGUGACAUGAAUGUGGAACUUUCAACGUACCCAGGUUCCCCCUCAGAGAGUUCUCCUUCCAUGGACUGGACUUGUGUGGACUGGAGAGCUUGUUGCCAGUGGAGACUUGUCUUUGAUGUUCCCUGUGGUUUCUGAGUGAUGAGGUGAGACGUAGAGUGAAGCAGACACACGAUCACCACAACUGACGAGCAGACAUGAGAUGAUGUGACGUACGACCUGUGGGAGUUAGUGAAGUUCUUACCUCAGCUCCUAUACAACCGUGGUCACCAACACUAUUUGCAUCACAGACUGGUUGAUACAGGAUAAUUUAGGGUGCAGAG